GUGCCAGCAGCCGCGGUAAUACGUAGGUGGCAAGCGUUAUCCGGAAUUAUUGGGCGUAAAGCGCGCGUAGGCGGUUUUUAAGUCUGAUGUGAAAGCCCACGGCUCAACCGUGGAGGGUCAUUGGAAACUGGAAAACUUGAGUGCAGAAGAGGAAAGUGGAAUUCCAUGUGUAGCGGUGAAAUGCGCAGAGAUAUGGAGGAACACCAGUGGCGAAGGCGACUUUCUGGUCUGUAACUGACGCUGAUGUGCGAAAGCGUGGGGAUCAAACAGGAUUAGAU
RNAcentral lists this ribosomal RNA (278 nucleotides) under uncultured Staphylococcus sp. Its description in RNAcentral is "partial 16S ribosomal RNA". It matches the Rfam family "Bacterial small subunit ribosomal RNA", at positions 505 to 783 of the family's 1533-position model. Lineage: Bacteria; Bacillati; Bacillota; Bacilli; Caryophanales; Staphylococcaceae. The record is from RNAcentral.